Molecule: long non-coding RNA, 1715 nt
Organism: Chelonia mydas (Green sea turtle)
Lineage: Eukaryota; Metazoa; Chordata; Testudines; Cheloniidae
Exons: 5
Source: RefSeq, a predicted model, not a curated record
GGAAGUGGAGAGGGUCCUCCAAGAUGCCUAGAGAGGCUGCGAGGGAUGCAACCAAUCAGGAAAGAGGCUGCAGGGAGCAUCCAGUCAGGGCCCAACAGGCUUGUAUAAAAAGAGCUGCAGGGCCAGCAUGAGUUUGGUCUACUGGUAGGGACUGUGGGACUAACAGGUGCUCCUGGCUGGCUGCAGGGGCUGAAAGGGCUGGACAGAGCAGUUGCUGGCAAAGGACCAGGGAGCUUGCUGGAGGGUUGCGUCACCGAAGACCCGUCUGACAAGCACAGAAGCUGACAGGGGCACCGUGAGUGGAGGAAAAAACUGCAGGCAUGCACACACUUCACCAGGAGGUGUUCAUGAGAGAAAAUAUUUACCAUGCGUCCUCGCUCCUCGGCGCUCCUACCUACAUGCGGGCCGCAACUGUCAAAGGGACGUUCGGAGCCCAACACCAACUGGCUUUCUUAGGUUCUUGGAAAACCCUACUCCAGAGUGACAGGCUCCUUCAAGUUCCAGCUGCGGGGCCGAGACGUUCCAAUCCAUUGAGGCCCACGGGGACAGGGCGUGUUAUUGUGUCAGCAGCACACGCAGAUGAAGACGAGCCUGCCUCUUUGUAGUAAGCCCUGUGGCUGCUGUACGUGAAGCGGAGAGGCAUGCUGGGAAGCAUGGGCCUGAUUCACGCUGGCUCUGGGCAAACCCUAUUGAAGAUACUCAUCAAGAAGCAAGGGAAGGAGACCUGAUCCUGAGCACCCUUAACACCUCAUAAAGCUAGGGGCGGCGAUGAGGAUGCAUGGGGCAUGGAGGCCAGACUCAAAAAAUAACCAACUCUUUGAAUGGCCCCUCCAGGAAUGGAGUGAGCAGCAGCAGGGACUGUGGGAGGGCUUGAUAUUGCCCCUGUCCAUGUGAAGCGAGAGCUUCACCCUGCAGGGCUGUAAAUCUGGCACCUUCCACUUCAUACAGUACAGACUGACGAGGGCCGCUUGACUUGCAGCAAAGCUUGUUCGUUGUACAAACCUGGGGGCAGGACACUGCAGGGUUUGUUUUACUAGGAAAUUCACGGCUUCAUUCUGUGCGGAUUCGCUGGGCUCAUUUAUGUAUUUGGCUUUACAGAAAUACUACAAAGGGUGCGUAGGUGCCCUGGGUAUAACAACACCACAUGCGUGCAGCGGUAGAGUUGAACAUAACCCAUGCCCAGUGUGUCCAGCAACUGAGCAACUCCAAGGCUUUUCCCUUGUGAGCAAUUUCUCACCUGAACAAUUCUCCCUCCCCACCAGAUUUUCAAAUGCCUAGCUUUACAACGUGCCUCAAGGAUCAUCAGAUCUGGGCUCUUUCAGACCAAAGUGGGAACAAAUUCCAAGGCUGUGGGGCCCUCGCAGCAAAUGACCAGCCAACAACCCCUUCCUGUUUGGAUGAUUUAUAAUUUCUUUAGUGGAAAAUGUUUUUCUUUUGUCUGCUCUUCAACCCCGUUUCCCCCAACUGAGCAAUCCACGCCACGGAACCCACACACCAACUCAGCUGGUAUAAACCGGAGUAACUCCACUGGCUUAAAUAGAGCUAUACCUAUUUACACCCACUGAGAAUGUAGCCCUUUUCUUGUUUGUAAUUGUGGAUGUCACUCCUGUAGCUUUUGCUUUCCGUAUAGAACUGGAGUGCAAGCAGGACAGAGAGUGGCCGUUACACAUAUCACGUGUUGUACAAACUAUUCCACUGCCCUUUGGAAGACUGUG